RNAcentral lists this ribosomal RNA (943 nucleotides) under Lactiplantibacillus plantarum. Its description in RNAcentral is "bacterial SSU rRNA". It matches the Rfam family "Bacterial small subunit ribosomal RNA", at positions 547 to 1492 of the family's 1533-position model. The record is from RNAcentral. Lineage: Bacteria; Bacillati; Bacillota; Bacilli; Lactobacillales; Lactobacillaceae.
GGNUUAUUGGGCGUAANCGAGCGCAGGCGGUUUUUUAAGUCUGAUGUGAAAGCCUUCGGCUCAACCGAAGAAGUGCAUCGGAAACUGGGAAACUUGAGUGCAGAAGAGGACAGUGGAACUCCAUGUGUAGCGGUGAAAUGCGUAGAUAUAUGGAAGAACACCAGUGGCGAAGGCGGCUGUCUGGUCUGUAACUGACGCUGAGGCUCGAAAGUAUGGGUAGCAAACAGGAUUAGAUACCCUGGUAGUCCAUACCGUAAACGAUGAAUGCUAAGUGUUGGAGGGUUUCCGCCCUUCAGUGCUGCAGCUAACGCAUUAAGCAUUCCGCCUGGGGAGUACGGCCGCAAGGCUGAAACUCAAAGGAAUUGACGGGGGCCCGCACAAGCGGUGGAGCAUGUGGUUUAAUUCGAAGCUACGCGAAGAACCUUACCAGGUCUUGACAUACUAUGCAAAUCUAAGAGAUUAGACGUUCCCUUCGGGGACAUGGAUACAGGUGGUGCAUGGUUGUCGUCAGCUCGUGUCGUGAGAUGUUGGGUUAAGUCCCGCAACGAGCGCAACCCUUAUUAUCAGUUGCCAGCAUUAAGUUGGGCACUCUGGUGAGACUGCCGGUGACAAACCGGAGGAAGGUGGGGAUGACGUCAAAUCAUCAUGCCCCUUAUGACCUGGGCUACACACGUGCUACAAUGGAUGGUACAACGAGUUGCGAACUCGCGAGAGUAAGCUAAUCUCUUAAAGCCAUUCUCAGUUCGGAUUGUAGGCUGCAACUCGCCUACAUGAAGUCGGAAUCGCUAGUAAUCGCGGAUCAGCAUGCCGCGGUGAAUACGUUCCCGGGCCUUGUACACACCGCCCGUCACACCAUGAGAGUUUGUAACACCCAAAGUCGGUGGGGUAACCUUUUAGGAACCAGCCGCCUAANNUGGGACAGAUGAUUAGGGUGAANUCNNAC